Molecule: ribosomal RNA, 253 nt
Filed under: uncultured bacterium
Lineage: Bacteria
Description: partial 16S ribosomal RNA
Rfam family: Bacterial small subunit ribosomal RNA
Source: RNAcentral
UACGGGGGGGGCAAGCGGUGUUCGGAAUUACUGGGCGUAAAGGGCGCGUAGGCGGGUGGACAAGUCUCUCGUGAAAGCCCACGGCGCAACCGUGGAAUUGCCGUAGAUACUGUCUGUAUUGAGUCCGGGAGAGGAGGGGGGAAUUCCCAGUGUAGCGGGGAAAUGCGUAGAUAUUGGGAGGAACACCGGUGGGGAAGGCGGGCCACUCGACCGGUACUGACGCUGAGGCGCCAAAGCUAGGGGAGCAAACGGG